This 73-nucleotide transfer RNA is filed under the name Crocinitomicaceae bacterium. Its description in RNAcentral is "tRNA-Lys". It matches the Rfam family "tRNA". Rfam says of the family: Transfer RNA (tRNA) molecules are approximately 80 nucleotides in length. Lineage: Bacteria; Pseudomonadati; Bacteroidota; Flavobacteriia; Flavobacteriales; Crocinitomicaceae. The record is from RNAcentral.
GCCUUCUUAGCUCAGUAGGCAGAGCGCGCGCCUUUUAAGCGCGUGGCCGUGGGUUCGAUCCCCACAGAAGGCA